Small nuclear RNA from Nomascus leucogenys (northern white-cheeked gibbon), 100 nucleotides. Lineage: Eukaryota; Metazoa; Chordata; Mammalia; Primates; Hylobatidae. The record is from Ensembl.
UUGCUUAGGCAGCACAUAUACUAAAAUUGGAAUGACACAAAGAUUAGCAUUGUCCCUGAGCAAGAAUGACAUGCAAAUUUGUGAAGUGUUCCAUAUAGAA